RNAcentral lists this ribosomal RNA (431 nucleotides) under uncultured delta proteobacterium. Its description in RNAcentral is "bacterial SSU rRNA". It matches the Rfam family "Bacterial small subunit ribosomal RNA", at positions 99 to 523 of the family's 1533-position model. Lineage: Bacteria; Deltaproteobacteria. The record is from RNAcentral.
CGCACGGGUGAGUAACACGUAGGUCAUCAACCCCCGAGUGGUGAUAACCCUCCGAAAGGAGGGCUAAUACAGCAUGACGGCAGCAAUGUCCAAAGCGGGCCUCUUCAUGAAAGCUCGCGCUCGAGGAUGAGCCUGCGGCCCAUCAGGUAGUUGGCGGGGUAACGGCCCACCAAGCCAAAGACGGGUAGCUGGUCUGAGAGGAUGAACAGCCACACUGGAACUGAGACACGGUCCAGACUCCUACGGGAGGCAGCAGUCGGGAAUCUUCCGCAAUGGGCGAAAGCCUGACGGAGCGACGCCGCGUGAGCGAUGAAGGCCUUCGGGUUGUAAAGCUCUGUGGGGAGGGAAGAAUAAGUUCAAGCCAAUACCUUGAAUGAUGACGGUACCUCCUUAGCAAGCACCGGCUAACUCUGUGCCAGCAGCCGCGGUAA